Molecule: ribosomal RNA, 669 nt
Filed under: uncultured Bacteroidota bacterium
Lineage: Bacteria; Pseudomonadati; Bacteroidota
Description: bacterial SSU rRNA
Rfam family: Bacterial small subunit ribosomal RNA
Source: RNAcentral
AUAUUGGCGAUAAAUGUCAGUGUCUAAGAGAAAAUGAUAAGUGAUCCACCUGGGGAGUACGAUCGCAAGGUUGAAACUCAAAGGAAUUGACGGGGGCCCGCACAAGCGGUGGAGCAUGUGGUUUAAUUCGAUGAUACGCGAGGGACCUUACCAGGGCUUAAAUGCAGAACGACCGCUUGGGAAACCAGGCUUUCUUCGGACGGUUUGCAAGGUGCUGCAUGGUUGUCGUCAGCUCGUGCCGUGAGGUGUCGGGUUAAGUCCCAUAACGAGCGCAACCCCUAUUUCUAGUUGCUAGCAGGUAAUGCUGAGGACUCUAGAGAAACUGCCAGCGUAAGCUGCGAGGAAGGUGGGGAUGACGUCAAAUCAUCACGGCCCUUACGUCCUGGGCCACACACGUGCUACAAUGGUCGGUACAGAGGGCAGCGACUGCGCGAGCAGAAGCGAAUCUCCAAAGCCGGUCUCAGUUCGGAUCGAAGUCUGCAACUCGACUUCGUGAAGCUGGAAUCGCUAGUAAUCGCGCAUCAGCCAUGGCGCGGUGAAUACGUUCCCGGGCCUUGUACACACCGCCCGUCAAGCCAUGGAAGUUGGGGGUGCCUGAAGCCGGUGACCGAAAGGAGCUGUCUAGGGCAAAAUCAAUGACUGGGGCUAAGUCGUAACAAGGUAACCGUA